This 1388-nucleotide unclassified non-coding RNA is filed under the name Hevea brasiliensis (rubber tree). The record is from RNAcentral. Lineage: Eukaryota; Viridiplantae; Streptophyta; Magnoliopsida; Malpighiales; Euphorbiaceae.
AGAACGUGGCAGUAAUAUGAGGGUAUGAACCGCUGGUGAAGACUUGAAGAAUAAUCUACGAUGAAACUAUCUACGAUCAUGUUUUCCGUCAGCGCACCCUCGAUUAGAACCAAAUCUCCGUCUCUCACUUCCGCUUCAUUUGGCUCCCUUUGCUGCUCUUCUUCUCCUUCACUGCAAACCAAAUCGCGUAAUUUUAUUCCCUUGAAGAACGUUGCGCUUCCUUGGAAUUCAAUUUCCACAGGAAAACGACGAUACCUCUGUUCCGUCUCUGCUUCUAAAUCGGAAAAUGGAUUCAUCGGAUCCUCUUUUCAGGGAGAUGAAUCAUUUUUCAGGAGUGUAUUGGCUGGUAUGGAAACGGUUUAUUUGAACAGGAACCCCACGGCGAAAGCUGUUUUGGAGCUGGUUCAGUCAGCUGACGGCGAACCAAUCUGCUAUGAUCAUUUUGCUUUCAGGACAUUUGGGGUGAAUGGUCAUGGGAUUGAUUCCAUGGCAAGCCUUUUCCUGGAUUAUGGUUAUACACAGAAGGGGGAACUGAGAUUUCCUGCCAAAAAAUUGAGAGCUCUGUGGUUUUCGCCUCCCAGUAUUCCACAUUCUAAUACUGGCAGUGGUGUUAAUGGGCCUUUGCCCAGAAUUUUCAUUUCGGAGCUUCUUGUUGAUCAGAUAAGCCCACAAGCUCAAGAAAUCAUUAAAAAAUAUGUUGAAGUAUCUGCGAGCGGAUAUAAACAUGCAGCUCUUGCAAGUACUCUAGGCUUUCUGACAUGGAACAAGCCCUUAUAUUCUGAAUUUGAGCAAUUAGCAAGGGAGAGUGAAUAUGCUGCCUGGACACUUGUCAAUGGUUAUGCACUAAACCAUGUUACCAUUUCCACUCAUCGGCUGAAAUCUCAGUUGAGAAGUAUCAAUUGCCUUGAUCAAUUUAUUGAAGAUAAUGGGUUCAAAUUAAAUUCUGAAGGGGGCAUUCUGAAAGUGAGUCCUGAUGGCCUUUUGCUGCAAAGUUCAACUGUGGCUGAUUCAAUCACUUUCAAAUUUUCUGAUGGUGUCACUGAAUCAGUUCCUUGUUCAUAUAUCGAGUUUGCUGAACGCCUUGUGCUGCCACAGUAUAAAAAUCUACCAGAACAAGAGGUUAGGGAAUUCCACAGGCGAGAUGGGUUUGAGGUUGGGAAUGCUGAUAAGAUCUUUGAGAGCACAUCCAAAGAGCAAUUGACUAGGAGGGCUGCAUAAGAUACAUUACAUAUGUGAAGGAGCAAGUGCAAUUUGGUACCUUAAGUUCGAGGUGUCAAGAAGUGAUCUUCAAAGCCAAGAUGCUAAUAUAAAUAAAUAUGUAUUUAACAUGUAAAUAAAUUUGAUUCACUUAAUAAGAAUAUGCACUUGAACGUAUAACAGAGUGCCAG